Molecule: ribosomal RNA, 253 nt
Filed under: uncultured bacterium
Lineage: Bacteria
Description: partial 16S ribosomal RNA
Rfam family: Bacterial small subunit ribosomal RNA
Source: RNAcentral
UACGUAGGUGGCAAGCGUUGUCCGGAUUUACUGGGCGUAAAGGGCGUGCAGGCGGUUUGUUAAGUUCAGGGUGAAGGCUCCCGGCUCAACUGGGAGAGGUCCUUGGAUACUGGCAGACUUGAGGAGGGUAGAGGAGAGUGGAAUUCCCGGUGUAGUGGUGAUAUGCGUAGAUAUCGGGAGGAACACCAGUGGCGAAGGCGGCUCUCUGGGCCAUACCUGACGCUGAGACGCGAAAGCGUGGGGAGCGAACCGG